GGAAACUGGAUACCCUGAGAAGCUUCCCGCUGCCCUCUUCGCAAGAAUUUCCGGUUAGAAGAGCUGGCGUGGAGAUGGAACGCGGAAGGGUGCCGACUUGGGAUUCUGCGGAGAUUCCUAUACCCUCCAACGCUGCACGACGCGGUUCCGUCGGACGCCGUCUUGGCUGCUUUCGCCGCUCGUCUCCUCCUACGCUGUCAUCUCUCUCUCUCUCUCUCUCGGCUUAACUCAUCGGCUACGGCUAGGACUGCUACGUUUCUUUUUUCGUCAUAUUAGUACUUGGUCAAGGCCUGGGAGCCUUGCUGCAAGCGUAAAACAAACUCUUUUCCUUUUAAUUUGUACGAUUUUAGAGCAUUCAUUACAUCGUAGAGUUAAACCAUGGCUGCUAAUAAAAUGAACAUUCACCCAUUG
This 411-nucleotide long non-coding RNA is filed under the name Phoenix dactylifera (date palm). Its description in RNAcentral is "long non-coding RNA (PDAC_LNC006056)". Lineage: Eukaryota; Viridiplantae; Streptophyta; Magnoliopsida; Arecales; Arecaceae. The record is from RNAcentral.